This 422-nucleotide ribosomal RNA is filed under the name uncultured Chlorobiota bacterium. RNAcentral's name for it is "bacterial SSU rRNA". It matches the Rfam family "Bacterial small subunit ribosomal RNA", at positions 355 to 776 of the family's 1533-position model. Lineage: Bacteria; Pseudomonadati; Chlorobiota. The record is from RNAcentral.
UGAGGAAUAUUGCGCAAUGGCCGAAAGGCUGACGCAGCGACGCCGCGUGGAGGAUGAAGUCCGUUAGGAUGUAAACUCCUUUUGCAGGGGAUGAAUGUUCCGCUAUAUGCGGACUUGACCGUACCCUGCGAAUAAGGAUCGGCCAACUACGUGCCAGCAGCCGCGGUAAUACGUAGGAUCCAAGCGUUGUCCGGAUUUACUGGGUGUAAAGGGCGUGUAGGUGGAUUUUUAAGUCGGUGGUGAAAUCCUGCAGCUCAACUGCAGAAUUGCCUCCGAUACUGGAAAUCUUGAGUGCGGCAGAGGGAGACGGAAUUCAUGGUGUAGCGGUGAAAUGUGUAGAUAUCAUGAAGAACACCGGUUGCGAAGGCGGUCUCCUGGUCCGUUACUGACACUGAGGCGCGAAAGCGUGGGGAGCAAACAGG